CGCUUUUUGUAAAAUUAUUAAGAUAUAAAGAGUUCUGCCUGCCCAGUGACGUAGUUAAACGGCCGCGGUAUUUUGACCGUGCAAAGGUAGCAUAAUCAUUUGCCUCUUAAAUAGAGGCUGGUAUGAAUGGCAAGACGGAGGUUAAGCUGUCUCUUUCUUAUAUCUUGAAUUUAAUAUUUUUGUGAAGAAGCNNAGAAAUUUAUUCGUAGGACGAGAAGACCCUAUCGAGCUUUAAUUAUACAUGUCUAUAAUGGUUGUUAUUUGAUAAGGCUAAUUAGAUUAAGUUUUUGAUUAUAUGAUAUUAUUUUAAGGAUAAUAAAUUUUAGGUAUAAAGGUUUUGAUUGGGGCAAUCAUGGAGAAAAAAUAUCCUCCAUUAAAAAAUAAGAAAUAACACUUUCUGUUAGAAGGAUCCGCUGUAUAGCGAUAAAGGAAUAAGUUACCGUAGGGAUAACAGCGUAAUUUUUUUGGAGAGUUCAUAUUGAUAAAAAAGUUUGCGACCUCGAUGUUGGAUCGAGAUUUCCUAGAGAUGCAGUAGUUUCUAGAGGUUGGUCUGUUCGACCAUUAAAAUCUU
Molecule: ribosomal RNA, 571 nt
Filed under: Freyastera benthophila
Lineage: Eukaryota; Metazoa; Echinodermata; Asteroidea; Brisingida; Brisingidae
Description: partial 16S ribosomal RNA
Rfam family: Bacterial large subunit ribosomal RNA
Source: RNAcentral